This 71-nucleotide transfer RNA is filed under the name Fukomys damarensis (Damara mole-rat). It matches the Rfam family "tRNA". From Rfam's summary of the family: Transfer RNA (tRNA) molecules are approximately 80 nucleotides in length. Their secondary structure includes four short double-helical elements and three loops (D, anti-codon, and T loops). Further hydrogen bonds mediate the characteristic L-shaped molecular structure. tRNAs have two regions of fundamental functional importance: the anti-codon, which is responsible for specific mRNA codon recognition, and the 3' end, to which the tRNAs corresponding amino acid is attached (by aminoacyl-tRNA synthetases). tRNAs cope with the degeneracy of the genetic code in two manners: having more than one tRNA (with a specific anti-codon) for a particular amino acid; and 'wobble' base-pairing, i.e. permitting non-standard base-pairing at the 3rd anti-codon position. Lineage: Eukaryota; Metazoa; Chordata; Mammalia; Rodentia; Bathyergidae. The record is from Rfam by way of RNAcentral.
GUAUAGCUAGCUCAGUUGUAGAGCACUUGUCUAGCAUAUGUGAGACCCUGGGUUCAAUCCCUGGCAUCACA